AAUAGUGCGAUGAAAAGGAAGAGUAUUAUAAAAAUACAGUUUACAGAGAGGAAAUGAAUCAGCUGAGAUCAUUUCUAAAUAUGAUUUAUAAGAAGACUACCCUUGAGCUAUGGUUUAGUAUCGUAAGAGAAAUGCCAUCGGUAAUGCCGUUAUUAAGAAAUAAGAUAAAUUAAAUUUUAAUUUAAUUUGGGUGGAACCACGGAUAUAAGCAUUCGUCCCAUUU
Molecule: non-coding RNA, 223 nt
Filed under: Clostridium sp.
Lineage: Bacteria; Bacillati; Bacillota; Clostridia; Eubacteriales; Clostridiaceae
Description: T-box sequence
Rfam family: T-box leader
About the family: Uncharged tRNA acts as the effector for transcription antitermination of genes in the T-box leader family. T-boxes are found upstream of many aminoacyl-tRNA synthetase genes and some amino acid biosynthetic genes usually in Gram-positive bacteria. The anticodon of a specific tRNA base pairs to a specifier sequence within the T-box motif, and the NCCA acceptor tail of the tRNA base pairs to a conserved bulge in the T-box antiterminator hairpin.
Source: RNAcentral